CAGUGGGGAAUAUUGUACAAGUGGCGCAAGCGUGAUCCAUCAAUCCCGCGUGUGUGACGAAGGCCUUCAGGUUGUAAAGCACUUUUAUCGUGAGCGAAAUACCAUUGGCUAAUACCCGGUGGGGCUGACGGUACCCGAGGAAUAAGCACCGGCUAACUUCGUGCCAGCACCCGCGGUAAUAUGAAGGGUGCAAGCGUUAUUUGGAAUUACUGGGCGUAAAGGGUGCGUAGGCGGUUGGUUAACUCUGUUGUGAAAUCUCCGGGCUCAACCUGGGAAUGGCACUGGAUACUGGCCAGCUAGAGUGUGUCAGAGGAUGGUGGAAUUUCCGGUGUAGCGGUGAAAUGCUUAGAGAUCGGAAGGAACAUCAGUGGCGAAGGCGGCCAUCUGGGACAACACUGACGCUGAAGCACGAAAGCGUGGGGAGCAAACACGGAUUAGAUAUCCCUGGUAGUCCCCGCCCUAAACGAUGCGAACUGGAUGUUGGUCUCAACUAGGAGAUCAGUGUCGAAGCUAACGCGUAAGUCUCCCUGGACUCGACGUUU
RNAcentral lists this ribosomal RNA (542 nucleotides) under uncultured bacterium. RNAcentral's name for it is "bacterial SSU rRNA". It matches the Rfam family "Bacterial small subunit ribosomal RNA", at positions 352 to 873 of the family's 1533-position model. The record is from RNAcentral.